Molecule: non-coding RNA, 28 nt
Filed under: Mus musculus (house mouse)
Lineage: Eukaryota; Metazoa; Chordata; Mammalia; Rodentia; Muridae
Source: RNAcentral
UAAAAUUGAGUGUGUGGCUGCCCAAGUA